RNAcentral lists this ribosomal RNA (427 nucleotides) under uncultured bacterium. RNAcentral describes it as "bacterial SSU rRNA". It matches the Rfam family "Bacterial small subunit ribosomal RNA", at positions 355 to 774 of the family's 1533-position model. RNAcentral also lists the same sequence under 1 other name. The record is from RNAcentral.
UCGAGAAUAAUUCACAAUGGGGGCAACCCUGAUGGUGCAACGCCGCGUGGAGGAUGACGGUCUUCGGAUUGUAAACUCCUGUCAUCUGGGAGUAAGACCUGGCGAUGAAUAGUCGACAGGGUUGAUAGUACCAGAAGAGGAAGGGACGGCUAACUUCGUGCCAGCAGCCGCGGUAAUACGAAGGUCCCAAGCGUUGUUCGGAAUCACUGGGCGUAAAGGGAGCGUAGGCGGCGUGGUAAGUCAGAUGUGAAAUCCCGGGGCUCAACCCCGGAACUGCAUCCGAUACUGCCAUGCUAGAGGAUUGGAGAGGUAGCUGGAAUUCUUGGUGUAGCAGUGAAAUGCGUAGAGAUCAAGAGGAACACUCGUGGCGAAAGCGAGCUACUGGACAAUUCCUGACGCUGAGGCUCGAAGGCUAGGGUAGCGAAAG